GCGCUCGGGCCCCUCAGGCGGGUCGCGGCCCAGAGGCGCCGGGCGGACGCGGCUCCCGCUGCGGGCGGCGCCGGAGGACGGACCACACGGCCCAUAAGGCGUUGCGGCGGCCGCCGCCUGCCAGUCAAAACAGGGUGGUGGGCACCAGAGGCUCUCCCUGCCCUCCCUGUCCCACACCAUCCGCUGUGCUGGCAGUGGAUAGGCUGCCUGGGUUCCAAUCCUCCAGCCCAAACAGCCCUCAGGCCUCUGGAUGCAAAUCCAACUCUUCCCUCUGGGCUGAGGGACAAGAAGCAAGAUGUGUCUGAGACCAACCAGCAAAGCUGGGCUCAGGAUGCUCAGUGGGGACCCAGCAGCUCCCCACAGCAGCCACACACUUUUGCCUGGUAGCAACAGCCCUUGGAAGAGCCACAGAGGAUGAGGGCAUUGGAAAUCUAUGCCAGGAGUGAGAGGCACAAAGAGCAGGAGUUGCUCUGCCAGGAGCCAGUUUUAAACCAUCCCUGCUCAGCAGAGCUUUGGAAGGGUCUCACUUCAACCACUUCUCACCAGCACUGAGCCUCUUCUGCCAGGGCAGGAGCUCAUGGCUCCGGUCUUGAGAGAGCUUAAAAGGAAGAGCAGCCUCUUUGGAAGGAGAGAAGGUGUUUCCUCAAGUCUGCAGCUCCUGGGAGACUCACACAGAAGGUAUUUGAAACCCUUUUCCCUUUACUGUUGCUGUGGUUAGAUUUGCAGGUUGUAGUAUCCAGUUAAUUUGAACCCAGAGCAGGAAAAGGUGCCCCAUGAAAUGAUUCCCUUCAGAGAUACAGAAGUAAAGGCAAAGGAUGCAAAUAGAAGCAGGGAAAAGCAAAGGGAACCACAGCCCUUGUUGGCUGGGAGCCAUCAGGGUGCCUCAAAGCACCCAGAGAGAUGCUUUGUGUGUGAAGCCACUGGUGCUUCAGGAAUGGGAUGUGCAGGAGAGCACAAGGUUCAUCUCAGCAUCUGGUAAUGGUCAGGGGAUGGUGAUGAUGAUGAUGAUGAUGAUUAGGGGACUGGCACAUCUCUCUGAUGAGGAAAGGCUGUGAAACCUGGGGCUCUUCAGCCUGGAGAAGACUAAUGGAGGAGCUUAUUAACACUUCUA
Long non-coding RNA from Colius striatus (speckled mousebird), 1111 nucleotides. RefSeq lists it as uncharacterized. NCBI's taxonomy places the organism in Eukaryota, Metazoa, Chordata, Aves, Coliiformes, Coliidae. The transcript has 4 exons. The record is from RefSeq and is a predicted model, not a curated record.